UUAGGGAUGAUGAAAUAAAUCAGACGGAUUCCCAUUGAUUUUAUCCGUGAUGACAAUCACCAGCUACUUCUGACCUUA
This is a small nucleolar RNA of Andrographis paniculata, 78 nucleotides long. RefSeq annotates it as small nucleolar RNA R12. Lineage: Eukaryota; Viridiplantae; Streptophyta; Magnoliopsida; Lamiales; Acanthaceae. The transcript has a single exon. The record is from RefSeq and is a predicted model, not a curated record.